RNAcentral lists this ribosomal RNA (433 nucleotides) under uncultured bacterium. RNAcentral's name for it is "partial 16S ribosomal RNA". It matches the Rfam family "Bacterial small subunit ribosomal RNA", at positions 29 to 507 of the family's 1533-position model. The record is from RNAcentral.
AACGAACGCUGGCGGCAUGCCUAACACAUGCAAGUCGAACGAAGUCUUCGGACUUAGUGGCGCACGGGUGCGUAACGCGUGGGAAGCUGCCCUUGGGUACGGAAUAACUCAGAGAAAUUUGUGCUAAUACCGUAUAAUGUCUUCGGACCAAAGAUUUAUCGCACAAGGAUGAGCCCGCGUAAGAUUAGCUAGUUGGUGGGGUAAAAGCCUACCACGGCGACGAUCUUUAGCUGGUCUGAGAGGAUGAUCAGCCACACUGGGACUGAGACACGGCCCAGACUCCUACGGGAGGCAGCAGUGGGGAAUAUUGGACAAUGGGCGAAAGCCUGAUCCAGCAAUGCCGCGUGAGUGAUGAAGGCCCUAGGGUUGUAAAGCUCUUUUACCAGGGAUGAUAAUGACAGUACCUGGAGAAUAAGCACCGGCUAACUCCGUG